GCUAACUACGUGCCAGCAGCCGCGGUAAUACGUAGAGUGCAAGCGUUGUCCGGAAUUAUUGGGCGUAAAGGGUACGCAGGCGGAUAAUCAAGUCAAGCGUGAAAGGUGUCGGCUUAACCGACAGACUGCGUUUGAAACUGGUUAUCUUGAGUGUAACAGAGGAGAGUGGAAUUCCUAGUGUAGUGGUGAAAUACGUAGAUAUUAGGAAGAACACCAGUGGCGAAGGCGACUCUCUGGGUUAACACUGACGCUGAGGUACGAAAGCUGGGGGAGCGAACGGGAUUAGAUACCCCUGUAGUC
RNAcentral lists this ribosomal RNA (300 nucleotides) under uncultured Halanaerobium sp. RNAcentral describes it as "bacterial SSU rRNA". It matches the Rfam family "Bacterial small subunit ribosomal RNA", at positions 496 to 795 of the family's 1533-position model. The record is from RNAcentral. Lineage: Bacteria; Bacillati; Bacillota; Clostridia; Halanaerobiales; Halanaerobiaceae.